This 1294-nucleotide ribosomal RNA is filed under the name Alyxoria ochrocheila. RNAcentral describes it as "LSU rRNA". It matches the Rfam family "Eukaryotic large subunit ribosomal RNA", at positions 96 to 1407 of the family's 3401-position model. The record is from RNAcentral. Lineage: Eukaryota; Fungi; Ascomycota; Arthoniomycetes; Arthoniales; Lecanographaceae.
AAGCGGCAAAGGCCCAAAUUUGAAAUCGCGCCCCUUUAGGGAUCGAGUUGUAAUUUGCAGAGGGUGCUUCGGCGUUGGCGCCGGGCCAAGUCCCUUGGAACAGGGCGCCUGAGAGGGUGAGAGCCCCGUGCCUGCCCGGGUCGCCUCCGCCGCCAGAAGCCCCUUCGACGAGUCGGGCUGUUUGGGAAUGCAGCUCCAAGCGGGAGGUAAAUUCCUUCUAAGGCUAAACACCGGCCGGAGACCGAUAGCGAACAAGUAGAGUGAUCGAAAGAUGAAAAGCACUUUGGAAAGAGAGUCAAACAGCACGUGAAAUUGUUGAAAGGGAAGCUCUUGCCGCCAGACCGGCCGCGGUCGUCGCAUCCACGUCCCCGUAUGUGGUGUACCCGUCCGCGGUAGGCCAGCGCCGGUCCGAGCGGUCGGACAAAGGCUCGGGGAAUGUGGCCCCUCUCGAGGGGUGUUAUAGCCCCGGGUGCAAUGCGGCCAGCUUGGACCGAGGCACGCGUUCGCUAGGGCGCUGGCGUAAUGGCCGCAAGCGACCCGUCUUGAAACACGGACCAAGGAGUCUAACGUCUGCGCGAGUGUUUGGGCUGAUAAACCCAUGCGCGUAAUGAAAGUGAACGGAGGUGGGAACCCUUAGGGGCGCACCAUCGACCGAUCCUGAUGUCUUCGGAUGGAUUUGAGUAAGAGCGUAGCCGUUACGACCCGAAAGAUGGUGAACUAUACACGGAUAGGGUGAAGCCAGAGGAAACUCUGGUGGAGGCUCGCAGCGGUUCUGACGUGCAAAUCGAUCGUCAAAUCUAUGUAUAGGGGCGAAAGACCAAUCGAACCAUCUAGUAGCUGGUUCCUGCCGAAGUUUCCCUCAGGAUAGCAGUAACGCCUCCAGUUUUAUGAGGUAAAGCGAAUGAUUAGAGGACUUGGGGCUGAAACAGCCUUAACCUAUUCUCAAACUUUAAAUAUGUAAGAAGCCCUUGUUGCUUAGGUGAACGUGGGCCUUCGAAUGUACCGUUACUAGUGGGCCAUUUUUGGUAAGCAGAACUGGCGAUGCGGGAUGAACCGAAAGCGGGGUUAAGGUGCCGGAGUGGACGCUCAUCAGACACCACAAAAGGUGUUGGUUCAUCUUGACAGCCGGACGGUGGCCAUGGAAGUCGGAACCCGCUAAGGAUCGUGUAACAACUCACCGGCCGAAUGAACCAGCCCUGAAAAUGGAUGGCGCUCAAGCGUCCCACCCACACCCCGCCGCCGGGGCGGAAGCGAAGCCCCGGCGAGUAGGCAGGCGCGGGGGUCCGGUGACGAA